RNAcentral lists this long non-coding RNA (697 nucleotides) under Anser brachyrhynchus (Pink-footed goose). RNAcentral describes it as "lncRNA (ENSABRG00000022642.1)". Lineage: Eukaryota; Metazoa; Chordata; Aves; Anseriformes; Anatidae. The record is from RNAcentral.
GGGGUGUAGACUUUGGUUUACGUCAGAGCAUGCAAGGUUGCAUCUUUUUUUCAUUGGUUUCUGUUCUGUCUGGAUUCACCCAGGGCCACUGCUGGUGGUAUAAACACCCUUUUAAUAGGUUGCUUGGGGCAUGGCCCACUGUGAUCAAGGGCAGCACAUUCAGUCCCUGUCAUUAAAUAGCGCUCCCUUUAAUCCCUGGAGGUGGAUGACGUUCUGCAAUUUACAAUGUGGCAAAUGCAUCUGGCAGUGUUGAGAUAUGGGUUAUGAGAAAGGCACAUAUGCAAACACAGAAAACUGUUCCAAGCGAGGUCAGAACAAUUCACAAUACGUACUUUGGCUCGGCUUGCUGAUCAUCCUCAAAACCUAUGUACAGAAAAUUGCAGGCGAGACUAAUAAAAACAUAAUGAGUCCUGACCAGCGAGAAUAGUUUAUUAUGAUUCGCUUUAAUAGUCUUCUCACUGCUCUUCCCUCAUGCCAGCAAAUAUCUGCCGUUGCCUGCAGAUGAACCUUUUUCAGACUGCCAUGAAUCACGCCGCAGGAGAGGCACCACAUGGGAGGUGUGUUUGGGCUACAUCUGGAAAAACAGUGCUGGAUGGUGGCUGCACGUUGCCCACAGCCCUGGCAGAGGCACAGCAAGAUUGGCAAGGCGUGGACCUACAUGCCCAGCUUCCUAUUUCUUCUCCUGGGAGCAUCCAAC